GAACCGGAGGAGUCUCUUAAGCUUGCGUGUUCCCGGCUGCAGUGGCUGCCUUGCGGUAUGGGACGAGCGGGGCCCGAGCGGGCGGAAAUUUGAGAGUGUCAUGAGCAGUCUCUUAGUGCCCUUCAUAAGGGCAGUAUCUGUGUUUGAAAUAAGUUGAACCUUCAGCAGUUGGACUCACAUAGAGCAUUGUCUCCUCCACUGAGGUCCAUUCUGAAACAAGGAUUCUCCUUGGAACUCCAGGGACAGAACUUCCUGUAAACAUCUGGACUGUCCCCCCUGUGUGACCCAGAUGAAAAAAGAUGACCAAGGGCUUUCAGCCUCACUUAUGGGAGAGAGUGGAGUUGGGGGUAAGAGGAGUCCAAACAGAGAUUCUUAUAAUUUUCUGCAAAGAGGAAGCUUUGGAAACUGACUAAGAAUCUGUGUAAACAUAGUGAGUAAACAUGCAGACCAUUUCUCAGAACAAAAUGUGUGGACAGGGUUCCUCUGUUCUGUGGAUCCAAAGUGCCUCAUGAUGCUAAGGCAAGGUGGAUGGUGGAGACUUAGAAUGAACACAGACAUUUUCCAGGGGAAUAUUUUAACUUCCAGCCAAUCCUUUUCUUUUUAGGAUUUAACAUCAAUAUGAUCAUUUUCACUUUACAGAUGAAUGAAUUCAGGUGCAGACAUUGUGGCUCUCAGGUUUGCCCCAUGCAUCUGUGCUAAAGCCGGGGGAUGGCCCUCACCUCUCAGCAUUACCAAAUGAGCUUUCAGGCUAAUGCACUCUGAACUGGCAUCGUCUCCCAGUUGUGAGUGCUUUGAAAUAAAACAGAAGCUAUGCUACAGCUGAACAAUUCAAAUCAUUGGCAGAAAGUGUGGUAGGUAAAUGGCACUAUGAAAAAUGAAAAGCAUCUUGUUUCCUGUGAACUAAAAAUGGAUAGGUCCAAUUAUUGCCCCUUCCACACAUGAAGACUGCACAAAGUUAGUUAAUUAUAAAUAAUUCAUCCAACCAUAGAAGGGAUGAGCUAUAUGUUAUAUUACUGAGCUUUAAAAAUCUUUAUGAGUGUAGCAAGAGACACAUAUACCAACAGCUGCUAAAUUCAGAAUCCUGGGGCAGUAUCUUAUUUUAAUAUAAGGGAAGAACCACACAGUCUAUCGCUCUAGGGAUUUCCUGCUAUAUAAAAAGACCUUAAAUCUACAUGAGAUUUUACUCGUGAUUUCAAAGCACUUAAUAAAAAGCUGUUUUGUUUUGUUUUUUAAUUUGAAUAUCUUUUAACUCUACCCCCAGCCACACUAUUUACAACACAGAUAAUGCUUUCUGGACUAGAUUGCCCAAGGCAGAGGCUUCCUUUUUUCCUCCUGCCUAUUUCCUUCUUUACUUUUUUCUUUUCUUUUCUUUUCUCAUCCUUUCUUUUGUUAAAUUCUUCAACACCUAGCUCAGAGCCCAGCACUUUGUGUUGUGUGUGCAUUGACCGUUGAGCAUGAAUGAUCACCCUCACUGCCAGAAGAGUAAAAAGUCAUAAACAUCGGAGUGGGUUGCUGAGCUCUGAGCAGAAUCAGAAGCUCUAAUUCUCCCAGUGGCUCUGCGGAACUUCUGCCUACUGCACAAUCAGGAGUUGGAGCUGUGUCUUGGGGUGACUUAAUUCAAGUAAAACCUCAGACUGGGAUGUCAGCCAGCAUUCUAAGGAGAACUUCUGUAAGAAUGUUAUGUCUUAAAAUACGUAAAUUCAAGUUCUGAGCCUUAGAACAUAAGGCAAAUAGUACCUUGCCUUACAGAAGGAUAAAGUACAAGCAAUAAAACAAGCCAAGUUGCUGCCUAAAGUCCCUUGACUGAAAUCAUAUUUGUCCAUGAUCUCUUAUUUUGGUGGACCUUUAAUAACUGGGACAAGGAUAUUGAAGAACUAAUUGCUGUGCAUUCAGCAACUGACUGUGCGUGGGUCUGCAAGGCAUGCAACCCAUGCUUGUGCAGAACUUGGAAACUUGAAUCUGGGGAAGACUUAGUUUUUCAAACUCUUGCCAUAGCCCUUCCUUGAUAGGGUUUUACCUAUGAGAGCUCAGAUGCAGAUUUCUUGAGCCACUUAAUCAAGGCCAGAUGUAUACUCUAUUCAUCCACUAGCACUGUUAGGAUGAGUUUUGCCCCAGAGUUUGGGGAGAGAUAAGCAGCUGUGAUUGUACAGAAACAGACACCAAACUUAAGCUGAAAAUUUUACUGCACAAUUGGCCAGCAGUAGUAGGCCACACCAAUAAUAAAGACAAAACCACCAAUUUAAAGCAGCAGUAGAAUCUGGGAAAUGCUCUUUCUGCAAUUGCUUUGAAUACAAAACAUCUCAGAAUUACAGGGAUUUUGCCUGCAGAGUUGCUAAUGAAGAUGUGGCUGGCAGUGUCCCUCGAGUUUGUUUAUCCAGCUGUACAAGAGUCUGUAUGACAGUAACUGGAUUUAUAAAAAUUUAAAAAUACCAAAGCCAACUUCUGAAGAAAGAAGUUUCCCCUAAGUCCACUAAAACCUUGUAUUUAUAAAUGAGAAGCUUUAUUGCUACCACAUCUGCUUAUGUAUAGGUGUGCUUUUACUUGAAAGAAAAUUGUAGACAAGGUGAAACUUAAAAGGGGAGAACAAGAUGGGCCCUUCUUCUUCCUCCCCCUCCCUGUACCAGAGGUCAACUAUGGGGUGGGGGAUAAUUUUGCCCCUCAGGGGACAUUUGGCAGGGUCUGUAAUUUUGAUUUUGAUUGUUACAUUGUGGGAUGAGGAACUGCUGGCAUCUAGAGGCCUGGAACACUCUUGAGCAUCCUAGACUGCACUAGACUGCACUAGACUGCCCCUAACCCCAAACAAAGAAUUUCCAGCCCAGAAUGUCAGUACUACAUUCUGCCCUAGCCCACUGACUCCAAAAAUUGAGUAUGUGCAAAUUGUUGGUAGUUGUUUAAAUCAGAUCUUGAAUUCUCCCCUGGUUUUUCAAUCAGCUUUUGGCCAUUAGUUCCAGAGACAGCUGUUACCAGAUUUGUUCACACAGGGCCUUCUGUUUAGCAGAUCUUGGGUCAUUUAUCUUCCCUUGACCAAAGACACCACUAAACCUAGCUAUUUCACCUCAAAUGAAAGCCUAGGCUAGGUUUCCAGGUACAACUGGCAAUAAAUCAAUGACUACAAAACAGUAAGGGGAAAAUGUGACUUUAGGGUUAUCAGAAAUCCCCUGCCAAUGUUAAAAAAAUCAUAACCCUUCACAAACACACAAACCCCUCAAACGUUUUUUUUAAUUAGCUGAGUUUUUUUCCCUUUAGGACAAUGUUUUUCAAAUUAAAAUCCUGAACCCUCCAGUAUCAGAAAGACCAAGGUGUUAUUAAAAAUGUCAGUUUCUCAAAUCUGUCCGAACCCUCUGGAUUGAGAAUUCUCGAGUGUAUGAAUUUGGUAAUCUCCGCCUUUAAAAUGCACCUGAGGUACACACCAAAUUUUGAGUUACUGUUCUAAGGCAAGGAUUCUCAUUCUUUUCUUCCCUACACAACUGUGUGUGUGACUUUGGGGGUCUCUUUGGAUGUGUACCCAAAACAUCCCCAGGCUGACAGGAGCACAGAGACCAACGGGAUAGAAGUUGGUGUUGUAGAAUAACCCAGAGACAUGUGGGUAACUAUUUCACAGCUAGUUUAAUUAUUUUAUAUGCUAAUUGUUUAUUCACACCUGAGAGGGUGAGGCAAAUAGUAUUUCUAAAACAAAAAGGAAAGAAAAGACAAUCUAGUAACGGUGGAACUUGUAUUACAUGUUUUGGGGGCAAAUUGAUUUAAGUGAAAGGUAGCAGAGAAGUUUGUACUGGGGCCUUGAGUGGCCAACUGCAAUUCUUUAUGGAUUCCCCAGAAAGCAGCUGGGAGCUGGGAGCAGAUGUGACAGGCCAUCCCU
Molecule: long non-coding RNA, 3856 nt
Filed under: Sus scrofa (pig)
Lineage: Eukaryota; Metazoa; Chordata; Mammalia; Artiodactyla; Suidae
Description: lncRNA (ENSSSCG00015016057.1, ENSSSCG00030028417.1, ENSSSCG00055004006.1)
Source: RNAcentral